GGAAACUGCCUGAUGGAGGGGGAUAACUACUGGAAACGGUAGCUAAUACCGCAUAACGUCGCAAGACCAAAGUGGGGGACCUUCGGGCCUCAUGCCAUCAGAUGUGCCCAGAUGGGAUUAGCUAGUAGGUGGGGUAACGGCUCACCUAGGCGACGAUCCCUAGCUGGUCUGAGAGGAUGACCAGCCACACUGGAACUGAGACACGGUCCAGACUCCUACGGGAGGCAGCAGUGGGGAAUAUUGCACAAUGG
This 251-nucleotide ribosomal RNA is filed under the name Acinetobacter baumannii. RNAcentral's name for it is "partial 16S ribosomal RNA". It matches the Rfam family "Bacterial small subunit ribosomal RNA", at positions 121 to 374 of the family's 1533-position model. Lineage: Bacteria; Pseudomonadati; Pseudomonadota; Gammaproteobacteria; Moraxellales; Moraxellaceae. The record is from RNAcentral.